GGGCGUGUAACUCAGUGGUAGAGUGCUCGCUUCGCAUCCCCCUGGUGCUGAAAUGCGAGAAGUCCAGGGUUCAACUCCCUGCUCGUCCA
Non-coding RNA from Hypoxylon sp. FL0543, 89 nucleotides. The record is from the annotation of a GenBank genome assembly. NCBI's taxonomy places the organism in Eukaryota, Fungi, Ascomycota, Sordariomycetes, Xylariales, Hypoxylaceae.